CAAUAGCGUAUAUUAAAGUUGUUGCGGUUAAAAAGCUCGUAGUUGGAUCUCGGCGGGCAGGGGGUGGUUCGCUCUUCAGCGCUACUGCCCCGCUUUGCCCGUGUGAUUGGCGGAGGUUUCGGGGUGCUCUUCGUUGAGUGACUCGGAGCGCCGUCAGGUUUACUUUGAAAAAUUAGAGUGCUCAAAGCAGGCUUUUCACGCUUGAAUAUUCGUGCAUGGAAUAAUGGAAUAGGAACUCGUUUCUAUUUUGUUGGUUUUCGGAAAUCGAGUUAAUGAUUAACAGGGACAAUUGGGGGCAUUAGUAUUUAAUUGUCAGAGGUGAAAUUCUUGGAUUUAUUAAAGACUAACUUAUGCGAAAGCAUUUGCCAAGGAUGUUUUCAUUAAUCAAGAACGAAAGUUAGGGGAUCAAAGACGAUUAGAUACCAU
This 426-nucleotide ribosomal RNA is filed under the name uncultured eukaryote. Its description in RNAcentral is "bacterial SSU rRNA". It matches the Rfam family "Eukaryotic small subunit ribosomal RNA", at positions 592 to 1018 of the family's 1831-position model. The record is from RNAcentral.